Molecule: non-coding RNA, 1844 nt
Organism: Phascolarctos cinereus (koala)
Lineage: Eukaryota; Metazoa; Chordata; Mammalia; Diprotodontia; Phascolarctidae
Source: RefSeq, a predicted model, not a curated record
UCUGACCUCAAAAGGCUGACAUUCUACUGCACAAAAAUCCAUGGAUCUAGGUCAGUCAUUGUGAAAAAGGGGCUGACCUAGUCACAUGCCUCCCCAGUAGUCAGAAGUCUGUGUUCUGGUAGCUUUAUGUGCCCGGCACAUCAUAAAUAUGACAUUUAAAUAAAUGCCUAUUGAUCUGAUUUGAUAGGACCUGAUCGAUGAUGUCAGCCAGAGUAGAUCUUUUGCUUAUCAGAGUCCAAAUCCUGAUUUGCUUUCGCCCCUUUCCCACCUUUUAGGGACCUGUCUCAGUCGUCAAGAAGGCAUCAUCCAGGCUCAGUCAUUCUAAAAGUAUGCACUGAGCUCAGUUCUAUUUGGAGCAGCUUGACCAUUGAAAGAAAGUCUGUGACAAGGGUAACAUCUACCAGAGCAGUGGAGGUUGUACAGUGGUCACUAUAUAGGGCCUGUGACAGAGAACUCAGUGAGAGGCCCCCAGAAGGAAAAUCUCACACCUGGUCCAGUAUCUGCAAUGUAGCCAGAGUUUAAUACACCCUUGUCAGUUGGCCAGUUCACUGAUUGAUGGUAAAAAUUCCCCCAGAGAUGGAAAUGACUUGUCCAAGGCCAAACACAUAUCUUCAGCACCUGGUAUACAGCAGGCAUUUACUAAAGGCUUGCUUGCUUGAGCCUCUCCAUUUGUUUGUAGUGAAGCCAAGCAUGCUAGCCCCAGCAUCAGAGCCCUCCAUGGACUCAUCGGACGGAAGGCACAUCUCGUUCGUCCCCUUGCAGCAGGAACGCUUUCAGCUGAUGGCAGAGGCGUGCUUCAUCAUCAGGGCAUCGCGAAGAGUGGACUGGUGUGGAAAGGGAGGGAGGGUGUGGAAGACUCUGGCUCCGUUUUUGACUCUGCUCUUUAUCUCCGUGCCUCAGCUGCCUUCUCCCUGGGAAGUUCCCUUAGCUAUCCCUGUGGGUUGUCGGCCCUUCCUAAGCGCCUGGGAACAUCAUCUUGCCCCUGAGUCCUCUUCUCCCGGUAGGGAGUUCCCCUCAGAGCCUCCGCUUUGAGGCAGGGCCCGUUCCUCCAUUCCUCUCCCGAUUUGACUUCUCACUCUCUGGAUUUCCCCACCAAACCUCUCCACAGGUACCUCCUCUCCCAUCCCCUGAUUCUUUUCAGCUUCCUUCGGUAUGUCUUCACACGUUAGAAUAUAAGCUCCCUGAGGUCCAGAACUAGCCUUUAGCUUCUAUGUGCAUCCCCAAUGUUCAGCAUAAUGACCGGCAUACGACCAUCAAAUCAAAUUCCCCCGGGAGAAAAAAGGACAGAAUGCCUGACAGUGGAGAUGAAAGGAAGCUUUACAAGGACAUAAAACAAGCCCAGCAAUGUCAACCACCCUCAAUGAAAGGACUCAAGAGAAAAGCAGAAGAUGAGAGAGAAGUCAUUGAGAAGGUCUGCUUGCCUUCUUCUCUAAUGCCUUACUUCAUUCUCAAGCCUGGUCUCUUUGGAGUUGGAUUCUGAAGAAGGCUGGGCUCAGAUGAGAGGAAAUUUGGUUCAUGGACAGGACUGGAGGGCUUGGCUCUGUAACGGGAUGGAGCCCUCCAGGUCAGAUGAGCCAAGAAAUACUUAAGAUCUGCCAAACCCCAAAGCCCUCUACCCUGCACUGAGUGAGAUCAGGGGCUCAUGUACUGGGAAAAUGGCAACUGUCCUCCUUAGGAAAUUUCUUCUUCAUGAAAUGGUAGAGGGUCAUGGGAGGGAACUGUUAUAGGGAGAGGGUAACUCCAACACACCCUCAUCUGAGGAGUCUCCAGGGAACUCUCUCUCUCUCUCUGUCUCUCUCUCUCUGUCUCUCUCUCUCUCUCUCUCUCUCUCUCUCUCUCUCUCU